UACGGGGGGGGCAAGCGUUGUUCGGAAUUACUGGGCGUAAAGGGCUCGUAGGUGGCCAACUAAGUCAGACGUGAAAUCCCUCGGCUUAACCGGGGAACUGCGUCUGAUACUGGAUGGCUUGAGUUCGGGAGAGGGAUGCAGAAUUCCAGGUGUAGCGGUGAAAUGCGUAGAUAUCUGGAGGAAUACCGGUGGCGAAGGCGGCAUCCUGGACCGAUAUUGACACUGAGGAGCGAAAGCCAGGGGAGCAAACGGG
RNAcentral lists this ribosomal RNA (253 nucleotides) under uncultured bacterium. RNAcentral describes it as "partial 16S ribosomal RNA". It matches the Rfam family "Bacterial small subunit ribosomal RNA", at positions 524 to 776 of the family's 1533-position model. The record is from RNAcentral.